ACUCCUACGGGAGGCAGCAGUGGGGAAUAUUGGACAAUGGGCGAAAGACCUGAUCCAGCCAUGCCGCGUGUGUGAAGAAGGUCUUCGGAUUGUAAAGACACUUUAAGUUGGGUAGGAAGGGCCGAUUACCUAAUACGUGAUGGUUUUGUACGUUACCGACAGAAUAAGCACCGGCUAACUCUGUGCCAGCAGCCGCGGUAAUACAGAGGGUGCAAGCGUUAAUCGGAAUUACUGGGCGUAAAGCGCGCGUAGGUGGUUUGUUAAGUUGGAUGUGAAAUCCCCGGGGCUCAACCUGGGAACUGCAUUCAAAACUGACUGACUAGAGUAUGGUAGAGGGUGGUGGAAUUUCCUGUGUAGCGGUGAAAUGCGUAGAUAUAGGAAGGAACACCAGUGGCGAAGGCGACCACCUGGACUGAUACUGACACUGAGGUGCGAAAGCGUGGGGAGCAAACA
Molecule: ribosomal RNA, 453 nt
Filed under: uncultured bacterium
Lineage: Bacteria
Description: bacterial SSU rRNA
Rfam family: Bacterial small subunit ribosomal RNA
Source: RNAcentral